UUGACGGGACCCGCACAAGCGGUGGAUGAUGUGGUUUAAUUCGAUGCAACGCGAAAACCUUACCCACCUUUGGCAUGGCAGGAAUCCCGAAGAGAUUUGGGAGUGCUCGAAAGAGAACCUGCACACAGGUGCUGCAUGGCUGUCGUCAGCUCGUGUCGUGAGAUGUUGGGUUAAGUCCCGCAACGAGCGCAACCCUUGCCAUUAGUUGCUACGAAAGGGCACUCUAAUGGGACUGCCGGUGACAAACCGGAGGAAGGUGGGGAUGACGUCAAGUCCUCAUGGCCCUUAUAGGUGGGGCUACACACGUCAUACAAUGGCCGGUACAGAGGGUAGCCAACCCGCGAGGGGGAGCCAAUCCCACAAAGCCGGUCGUAGUCCGGAUCGCAGUCUGCAACUCGACUGCGUGAAGUCGGAAUCGCUAGUAAUCGCGGAUCAGCAUGUCGCGGUGAAUACGUUCCCGGGUCUU
RNAcentral lists this ribosomal RNA (466 nucleotides) under uncultured Allobrachymonas sp. RNAcentral's name for it is "bacterial SSU rRNA". It matches the Rfam family "Bacterial small subunit ribosomal RNA", at positions 910 to 1382 of the family's 1533-position model. The record is from RNAcentral. Lineage: Bacteria; Pseudomonadati; Pseudomonadota; Betaproteobacteria; Burkholderiales; Comamonadaceae.